UACAGAGGUCCCAAGCGUUGUUCGGAUUCAUUGGGCGUAAAGGGUGCGUAGGUGGCGCUGUAAGUCGGGUGUGAAAUUUCGGAGCUUAACUCCGAAACUGCAUUCGAUACUGCGGUGCUUGAGGACUGGAGAGGAGACUGGAAUUCAUGGUGUAGCAGUGAAAUGCGCAGAUAUCAGGAGGAACACCAAUUGCGAAGGCAGCUCGCUGGAACGUUACUGACGCUGAGACGCGAAAGCGUGGGGAGCAAACAGG
This 253-nucleotide ribosomal RNA is filed under the name uncultured bacterium. Its description in RNAcentral is "partial 16S ribosomal RNA". It matches the Rfam family "Bacterial small subunit ribosomal RNA", at positions 524 to 776 of the family's 1533-position model. The record is from RNAcentral.